RNAcentral lists this long non-coding RNA (700 nucleotides) under Phoenix dactylifera (date palm). RNAcentral describes it as "long non-coding RNA (PDAC_LNC006958)". The record is from RNAcentral. Lineage: Eukaryota; Viridiplantae; Streptophyta; Magnoliopsida; Arecales; Arecaceae.
UGAGGGAGGAAGCAGGGGGGAAAGACGACGAAAAUAAGAGGCAGCCAAACAAGACCUUUAGGGCAGACUCGUGGGGUUUAUAUAGACCCCCCUGACGGCCCAGAUCGACGGGGUCGGUUCCCAUCCCCCCGACCGGGUUGCGCCACGUGUCGACCUCGGAAGCCGAGGCACCGUAUUCACUCCGGUUUAAUAAAUCGGAUGCGAAAUCGAAGCGUUGUCCCAUCGGAUCUCGGGGCCUCAUCAUGGGUCCACAGAAUCAAAUCGUCUUGAGGGACGAGCGGACGUAACCUCCGCUCCCCUCGUUUAAUAAGAUCUGGGACACGUGGAGCCCCGAUGAGGCCUCCACUUCUUCGGAAUUAUGAUCCAGUAACAUGAAAUCGAAAGCGUCCGACCUCGGGUCGCGCCGCGUGUCCGUUUCAAACCCCGUAACGGCACACUCAUUAAUGAUCCAGAAACGUCGAUUACGGAAUCGAGACACCGCCUCGACGAGCUCGAGGUCCCCCAUCAUUAAUCCGCCGUAAAAUGAUCCUGGCGAUUCAAGAAGCAUGAUGAUACGAGCUCCAUCAUUAGCUCACCGAAUAAAACAGCCUCGAGACGCCAAAGGGCGCAUAUCUCACCAUAAAAGCUCCGGAAAGCACAAGGGGGCGGGCGAGACCUUCCCCCCAACCUUAGUGACAGACUUUACUUCCCACGUCCGAGC